GGGGAUAACUACUGGAAACGGUAGCUAAUACCGCAUAACGUCGCAAGACCAAAGAGGGGACCUUCGGGCCUCUUGCCAUCAGAUGUGCCCAGAUGGGAUUAGCUAGUAGGUGGGGUAACGGCUCACCUAGGCGACGAUCCCUAGCUGGUCUGAGAGGAUGACCAGCCACACUGGAACUGAGACACGGUCCAG
This 192-nucleotide ribosomal RNA is filed under the name uncultured Enterobacterales bacterium. RNAcentral describes it as "partial 16S ribosomal RNA". It matches the Rfam family "Bacterial small subunit ribosomal RNA", at positions 139 to 334 of the family's 1533-position model. The record is from RNAcentral. Lineage: Bacteria; Pseudomonadati; Pseudomonadota; Gammaproteobacteria; Enterobacterales.